CAGUCGCCGCGGGAAUACGGAGGGUGCAAGCGUUAAUCGGAAUUACUGGGCGUAAAGCGCACGCAGGCGGUCUGACAAGUCAGAUGUGAAAUCCCCGGGCUUAACCUGGGAACUGCAUUUGAAACUGUCAGGCUGGAGUCUUGUAGAGGGGGGUGGAAUUCCAGGUGUAGCGGUGAAAUGCGUAGAGAUCUGGAGGAAUACCGGUGGCGAAGGCGGCCCCCUGGACAAAGACUGACGCUCAGGUGCGAAAGCGUGGGGAGCAAACAGGAUUAGAUACCCCUGAGUCCCUGUCUCUUAUACA
Molecule: ribosomal RNA, 301 nt
Filed under: uncultured bacterium
Lineage: Bacteria
Description: partial 16S ribosomal RNA
Rfam family: Bacterial small subunit ribosomal RNA
Source: RNAcentral